RNAcentral lists this long non-coding RNA (1034 nucleotides) under Apteryx owenii (little spotted kiwi). RNAcentral describes it as "lncRNA (ENSAOWG00000011346.1)". Lineage: Eukaryota; Metazoa; Chordata; Aves; Apterygiformes; Apterygidae. The record is from RNAcentral.
CUCUGCUUCUAGAUACUCACGUAUUUUUAGCUACUCUUUGCUGAUUAGACAGGUCAGAGUGACAGGUAGCAUGCGUUCAUCCUGGGCACUGAGCUCCUCAGUCGGUUGUAGCAACAGGGCAGUAUCACUGUGUGUUGCAUUUCUAAAAGCAGGCAUUGGUGCACUCUUACAUCAUGGUAUCUUGUGCCUGGCUCUGUUUGGUUUGGCACCGUACCAUUCUGGGUAGCAGGGGGUUAGCAAGGUGAUAAAAAGCCUCAUUUCACCUCUCUGGAAGCUGAUCCUCAUAUCCAAAAAAUUUAAUACCAUCUGUCUUAAACUUUUUUUGGUGUCAGUACCAUGAAAGACUCAAAAGGAAUUGCUUGUCAUUAAUGACAUUUCCUACUUUCUUACUUUUAGUCCUUUGAGGAUUAGCAACCUUUAACCGUUGUUAUCAGUUUGACCCUGACAGUAAGUUACGCAAAUGAGUAUGUUCAGUCUCUUUAUGACUCAUCCCCAUCCAACCUUUGUGCUCACUUAGGAAUGCAUGCAGCAAAUUAAUUUGUCUUAUUUCUUCAACAGUGUCUGUUGGAUUAUUUUGCUGGAGAAAAACCGAGUGUCCCUUAGUAUGGUUUUAUCUCUGCCUGUCUUCCUGAGAAAGCAGGAAAGAGACACUCCGCCUUCAGAGCCCCCUGAGUUGGCAGUGAGAUGACUUACCCACAGAAGUGGAAAGUUUGGACAGCCUCAGGUAGACAGCGCCAUAAAUGUAUGCAGCACUUUGCAUAGGACAAAGAGUGUUCUUGCUUAUUCCUGCUUCCUGUGUAUACACUCUGCCUAUAUAAUGCAUGAAAAAGGACUCAAUUACACUUUACACUCAAAUUUUAAAAGGCAAGGAAGAUGAAAGGAGAUUAGAAUAAUUCAGGGAAGAACUUGGCACAGCUGAGAGAGAGCAUUUGGUGAACAAAAUUUAGGAAACAGUUUCAAGCAUAAGGAGAGUUUGUCUGGAGUGUAUGAAUCCAAAAGUAAGAGAGGACAGGAGCUGUAAUUUUCCAGCUGGG